Molecule: RNase P RNA, 432 nt
Filed under: Acidobacteriota bacterium
Lineage: Bacteria; Pseudomonadati; Acidobacteriota
Description: Acidobacteria bacterium RNase P RNA component class A
Rfam family: Bacterial RNase P class A
About the family: Ribonuclease P (RNase P) is a ubiquitous endoribonuclease, found in archaea, bacteria and eukarya as well as chloroplasts and mitochondria. Its best characterised activity is the generation of mature 5'-ends of tRNAs by cleaving the 5'-leader elements of precursor-tRNAs. Cellular RNase Ps are ribonucleoproteins.
Source: RNAcentral
GGGGCAAGUCGGGCAAUCGCUGCUGAGAAUCUGAAGAAGGUUCUCAGGAGAGGAAAGUCCGAACACCACAGGACAGCGAGCCGGGUAACGCCCGGGCAUCGGUAUUUGAAAACCGAUGACGACAAGUGCAACAGAGAGCAGACCAGCCAGCGGCUCUCCUAAGUAUUUCGGAGAGUGCGGGUGAUGGGUGAAACGGUGCGGUAAGAGCGUACCAGCGCAUCUGGCAACAGAUGCGGCUAGGCAAACUCCUCGCGGUGCAAGACCAAAUAGGAAAGCGUUUUGAGAGUGGUCCGCUCGAAUCCCGGCCUUAGGUCGGGAGACGCUUUCGGGUAGGUCGCUUGAGCGAUUCGGUAACGAAUCGCCUAGAUGAAUGAUUGCCACCGUCUUCUUAGCAAGACGGUACAGAAUUCGGCUUACAGACUUGCCUCUUUU